AAGAUAUGGAGAGUGUUGCUGAAGUAGUUGGCGUCUGUGUUUGCUUCUUGCCAAGGCCUCCGGAUAAGGUCAUGAUGCUUCAAACAUUCCCUUUGAUGACUACCCUCAGAGAUUGUCUUUCUUCAGAUAGGCAGUGGAUUAAGGGGAGCUUAUUCUUUUAGUGAAGAACUCCCACAUAUUUAGGUUACGUUUGAUUGGAAUUCGUCUUGUUUUGGUGAUAUCACGGCUUCUCAAAGGCUUUCUGAGAGUUGUUUUGAAAAUACGUUCCCUUGUUGAUUUGAUAUACAGGAGAAAUGUUAGUAUGUAGAUGUCU
Molecule: unclassified non-coding RNA, 313 nt
Filed under: Hevea brasiliensis (rubber tree)
Lineage: Eukaryota; Viridiplantae; Streptophyta; Magnoliopsida; Malpighiales; Euphorbiaceae
Source: RNAcentral